Molecule: ribosomal RNA, 484 nt
Filed under: uncultured bacterium
Lineage: Bacteria
Description: partial 16S ribosomal RNA
Rfam family: Bacterial small subunit ribosomal RNA
Source: RNAcentral
AUUGAACGCUGGCGGCAGGCCUAACACAUGCAAGUCGAGCGGAUGAAGGGAGCUUGCUCCUGGAUUCAGCGGCGGACGGGUGAGUAAUGCCUAGGAAUCUGCCUGGUAGUGGGGGAUAACGUCCGGAAACGGGCGCUAAUACCGCAUACGUCCUGAGGGAGAAAGUGGGGGAUCUUCGGACCUCACGCUAUCAGAUGAGCCUAGGUCGGAUUAGCUAGUUGGUGGGGUAAAGGCCUACCAAGGCGACGAUCCGUAACUGGUAUGAGAGGAUGAUCAGUCAGACUGGAACUGAGAGCCGGUCCAGACUCCUACAGGGAGCAGCAGUGGGGAAUAUUGGACAAUGGGCGAAAGCCUGAUCCAGCCAUGCCGCGUGUGUGAAGAAGGUCUUCGGAUUGUAAAGCACUUUAAGUUGGGAGGAAGGGCAGUAAGUUAAUACCUUGCUGUUUUGACGGUACCAACAGAAUAAGCACCGGCUAACUUCGUG